This 253-nucleotide ribosomal RNA is filed under the name uncultured bacterium. RNAcentral's name for it is "partial 16S ribosomal RNA". It matches the Rfam family "Bacterial small subunit ribosomal RNA", at positions 524 to 776 of the family's 1533-position model. The record is from RNAcentral.
UACGAAGGGGGCUAGCGUUGCUCGGAAUCACUGGGCGUAAAGGGUGCGUAGGCGGGUCUUUAAGUCAGGGGUGAAAUCUUGGAGCUCAACUCCAGAACUGCCUUUGAUACUGAAGAUCUUGAGUUCGGGAGAGGUGAGUGGAACUGCGAGUGUAGAGGUGAAAUUCGUAGAUAUUCGCAAGAACACCAGUGGCGAAGGCGGCUCACUGGUCCGGUACUGACGCUGAGGUGCGAAAGCGUGGGGAGCAAACAGG